This 159-nucleotide ribosomal RNA is filed under the name uncultured bacterium. RNAcentral's name for it is "partial 16S rRNA". It matches the Rfam family "Bacterial small subunit ribosomal RNA", at positions 355 to 511 of the family's 1533-position model. The record is from RNAcentral.
UGAGGAAUAUUGGACAAUGGGUGAAAGCCUGAUCCAGCCAUCCCGCGUGAAGGAUGAAGGUUCUAUGGAUUGUAAACUUCUUUUAUACAGGGAUAAACCUACUUACGUGUAAGUAGCUGAAGGUACUGUAUGAAUAAGCACCGGCUAACUCCGUGCUAG